GCUGAUUAAUUUUUCCAGUCUGUGUCAUCUAAGCUUGUUCGACAUCAGGCUGCAUUCUCAUUUCCAAAUUAAUAGCAGCAGUUUAAGGUUUAUGAAAGGUAUUAAACAUCUACCCUUGGAACAGAACAGUAAAGAACAGAAAGCUAUGUUUUGUUGUCUUCCAAUCACCCAUGAAGAAACCUCAUGUUAUAUAGCAUAAUGAAAAUACAUGGAACCCCCAAGUAAGGAACCAUUGCUUUCAGUACCAGCUGAUUCUGUUGUCUGAUGUUUAAACUCAAAAAAAAUGUACAGUACAAAAUAAGAUGUGAUGACUAAGUGGACUGACACAGGAACUGCAUUAGAAGAUAAGCAAAGUCUAAAAGGGUAAGUCAAUAUUAAAUUGAUGAGUAACAGGAAUUCCUUGCAUUAAGUCUACAUGUAAGUCUACAGGAGCAUUAACUGAAUGAAAAGCAUUUUCCUUCCUCUCUCCUUUACAGAUACUGUGGAAAGCGCUGGAUAUGGAAUAUGCACCACGUUCCUUGCUAUGAAGUGCAUUUGCAUUCCGUGUCACUAACAACAGUUGAAAUGACCAGGCUAAAGAAUAGCAAAGAGAACGUGCAAGGAAACAAAUGCCAGGAGAAGGCUUUAAAAUACAAAUUAAAAAGCAGAAGCCAGUGA
RNAcentral lists this long non-coding RNA (657 nucleotides) under Falco tinnunculus (common kestrel). RNAcentral describes it as "lncRNA (ENSFTIG00000015880.1)". The record is from RNAcentral. Lineage: Eukaryota; Metazoa; Chordata; Aves; Falconiformes; Falconidae.